GAAAUGCGAUAAGUAAUGUGAAUUGCAGAAUUCAGUGAAUCAUCGAAUCGUUGAACGCACCUUGCGCCUUUUGGUAUUCCGAAAGGCAUGCCUGUUUGGGUGUCAUGAAAUCUCAAUCCCCCCGGGUUUUCUGAACCCGAGGUGGACUUGGACAUGGAUGUCUGCCGUCUCGUACGGCUCGCCUUAAAUGACUGAGUGGGAUCUGCAGCAUCCGUGACAGUCGUAAUACGUUUCGUCUCGUCCCCUGCUGUGAGGUCCGCUCAUAACCCGCCAUCGCGCACCACUUUUGUCUCUGACCUCACAUCAGGUAGGACUACCCGCUGAACUUAA
This 330-nucleotide unclassified non-coding RNA is filed under the name uncultured Tremellaceae. RNAcentral's name for it is "sequence contains ITS1". The stretch from base 1 to 105 matches the Rfam family "5.8S ribosomal RNA", at positions 50 to 154 of the family's 154-position model. Lineage: Eukaryota; Fungi; Basidiomycota; Tremellomycetes; Tremellales; Tremellaceae. The record is from RNAcentral.